RNAcentral lists this Y RNA (98 nucleotides) under Nannospalax galili (Upper Galilee mountains blind mole rat). RNAcentral's name for it is "Y RNA (ENSNGAG00000004372.1)". It matches the Rfam family "Y RNA". Rfam says of the family: Y RNAs are components of the Ro ribonucleoprotein particle (Ro RNP), in association with Ro60 and La proteins. The Y RNAs and Ro60 and La proteins are well conserved, but the function of the Ro RNP is not known. In humans the RNA component can be one of four small RNAs -- hY1, hY3, hY4 and hY5. Lineage: Eukaryota; Metazoa; Chordata; Mammalia; Rodentia; Spalacidae. The record is from Rfam by way of RNAcentral.
GGCUGGUCUCAGUACAGUGGUGCUUACAACCACUAGGCUCAGCCAGGUACCGAUUUCCUUGUUCCUUCUCCACUCCCACUUCACUUCACCAGCCUAAA